CCCGCUGAACUUAAGCAUAUCAAUAAGCGGAGGAAAAGAAACCAACAGGGAUUGCCUCAGUAACGGCGAGUGAAGCGGCAACAGCUCAAAUUUGAAAUCUGGCUCUUUCAGGGUCCGAGUUGUAAUUUGUAGAAGAUGCUUCGGGUGUGGCUCCGGUCUAAGUUCCUUGGAACAGGACGUCAUAGAGGGUGAGAAUCCCGUAUGUGACUGGCUGCCUCCGCCUAUGUGAAGCUCUUUCGACGAGUCGAGUUGUUUGGGAAUGCAGCUCAAAAUGGGUGGUAAAUUUCAUCUAAAGCUAAAUAUUGGCCAGAGACCGAUAGCGCACAAGUAGAGUGAUCGAAAGAUGAAAAGCACUUUGGAAAGAGAGUUAAACAGUACGUGAAAUUGUUGAAAGGGAAGCGCUUGCAAUCAGACUUGCGCGCGGUCGAUCAUCCGGUGUUCUCACCGGUGCACUCGACCGUGCUCAGGCCAGCAUCGGUUUCGGUGGUUGGAUAAAGGCCUUGGGAAUGUGGCUCCUUUCGGGGAGUGUUAUAGCCCUCGGUGCAAUGCAGCCUACCGGGACCGAGGACCGCGCUUCGGCUAGGAUGCUGGCGUAAUGGUUGUAAGCGACCCGUCUUGAAACACGG
Molecule: ribosomal RNA, 626 nt
Filed under: uncultured fungus
Lineage: Eukaryota; Fungi
Description: eukaryotic LSU rRNA
Rfam family: Eukaryotic large subunit ribosomal RNA
Source: RNAcentral